AUGACUUGCUGUCCAGGCAGCUCCCUCUCCUGCAGACAGAAUGCUCAGGGUCACUGAACCACUGCUUCUCAUUAGAGAGUAGAGCUAGCUGCCACUUUCCUGUGGCCUCCAGAGUGUCUCCAUCUAACCUCUGUACUCUCCUGCCACAUUGAUGGCUCAAGACAAGGCUGGCAACCCCCUCGCCCAGCAACACCCCUGAUUCAGAGAGGCUUUCUCAUGAGGCAUGGCCAAGCCAAACAUUCAUGUUGUGCCAGUGAGCUAGCCAUGGAGCAGAAGAGGGUUUGUUUUCAGCCCCCUCCAUCUGGGUCAGAAACAGAGAGCAUGCUGAAGGCUCCCUGCUUGCUUAGUAAGGCUGCCCCACCCGAGUCAUUGCUCCCAGGUGACUGCAAUGCUUGUAGAAGUAGGAAACCUAGUCCUCACUGGGAUGUACAAGAAGAAGGGCAAGUUCCCAAGUGCCUCACUUCGAAAGGAGGCCCUGUUCCCUGGAGUCAGGAUAUAUUGCAAAGCUUUGGCUGGGAUGGGAUCUGAGAUGCCAUGAACUGUGCUGAAUAGUCACUGUUCAGCAAACUAACCAGCAUUCCCUACAAUAUAGCCCAGGGCAGACAAUAGUAUAGAAGAAGUCCAGAAAAAAACAGAACAGUGUUUUGAGAAACUUGGACUAGUCUUGUACCUCAGUCUGGAUUUGCUGUAAUGAGAUUGUAAGUGUAUAAUUCUAGAUGCUCUGCCCACUGUUCAGCCCCAGUGGUGGAAGGGAGGAGGGCCUUUCCUGCGUUGAUUGAAUAGAGGCUACAGGGGUUAGACUGGACUAAAGGCAUCCUUGUCUUUCUGAGCUGUUCAUCUCAGUAGGAAAAAAUCUAAUGGGAGAUCACUGUAGUUUAGAUCUGCUGACCUGUGUGCCUACCCCUUGGAAAUGUCUGUUGGGUACUUUUAAUUCCACAGGUCAUCAGAUGCCUGCUUGAUAAUAUAUGAACAAUAAAAACAACUUUCACUUCUUUCUAUUGUGAUUGUGUUCCAUGGAUCUAAUCUAUACCGUGACCCCACACAAGGCUGGAUGGAGAACUUGGGCUGAGGGCCUCAGUGUGUGUGGGUGUGUAGGUGGGGGUGUGUCUGCUGGGUAAUGCUAUUUUCAAGAUUCUGAAGCUCAGUUCAACUGAUGCAUUAAAUGGGAAACUCAGAUCUGAUCAAGAGUCUGGAUUGCUAAGUCCUGCCUUGCUUUGUGGGUGUGCUGACAACUUAUUUGGGUGCCUUACAUCUUUUCUAAUCAGUGUUGCAUAUGAGCCGUCCUCAUUCUUUCUGUGGAAUCCCUUGGCACUUGAGAGCCAGGUGCAAACCCAAAGUGGCUGUUAGAAAAGGGGUCUGGCUAGAGAAUUAUCAGUCAAGCGAUUUUCAGGAUUCCCUUCUGGGCUUCAUUUUGGAAACUGUUCUUGGGGCUGUUGUUAUUAAGUGCCCACAUUUGAUGGAGGGUGGAAGUAAUUUGAAUGUAUUUUUUGUUGUUGUGUUUUUUUUUUUUUUUUAGAUCAAAGAUUGUAGCAUUUAAAAUGGAAAUUUUUCCUCUUGAAUUGCUAGUAUCUUGAGUGUAUUCUCUGUAAGUGUAGCUCAAAUGGGUCAGCAUGAAAGAGUAAGAAAGCAAGGUGGCAGUGUUACGCUGGUGGUUAAGGCCAGGGCCUCUCCUGCCACUGUGCCACUGACUUGCUAUGUGACCCUGGGCAAGUCACUUAACUAUAAUGUGCCUCACUUUUCCUUCUGUUAAAAUGGGAAUAAUAAUACUGACCUACCUCAAAGGGCAGUUUUGAGGCGUGACUAAUGCUUUUUUUAAAGCAUUUUGGGAUCUUUCAGCAGAGGAAUUCUCUCAAGUCCUGAGUAUUUUUAUAAUAGCUGUGUCCACCAUGAACUUGGUAUGUCCAUGUGUCCUGGAUGCUAUCAUUAGACUAUAUGGUUCUCUGAGAAAUUGAAUGAAUUCAUUGGAUAAGUGGUGGAUAACUAGCAAGACAAAAUUUGAGAAUUCAUAAGUUCAUUGCCAUGGAAACAUACACAGGAUACCUUUUCCUUGAUUGGGUGGGAUUUUUCCCUUUUUAUGUGGGAUAGUAGUUAUUUGUGAUCUAAGAAUAAUUUUGGAAUAAUUUCUAUUAAUAUCAACUCUGAAGCUAGUUGUACUGAUCUGAGAUUGUGUUUGUUCAUAAUAAAAGUGAAGUGAAUUUGA
This is an RNA transcript of Otolemur garnettii (small-eared galago), 2200 nucleotides long. RefSeq lists it as uncharacterized. NCBI's taxonomy places the organism in Eukaryota, Metazoa, Chordata, Mammalia, Primates, Galagidae. The record is from RefSeq and is a predicted model, not a curated record. The transcript has a single exon.